ACCAGCCCUUGACAUACCGGUCGCGGACACAGACGAUGUGUCUUUCAGUUCGGCUGGACCGGAUACAGGUGCUGCAUGGCUGUCGUCAGCUCGUGUCGUGAGAUGUUGGGUUAAGUCCCGCAACGAGCGCAACCCUCGCCCUUAGUUGCCAGCAUUUAGUUGGGCACUCUAAGGGGACUGCCGGUGAUAAGCCGAGAGGAAGGUGGGGAUGACGUCAAGUCCUCAUGGCCCUUACGGGCUGGGCUACACACGUGCUACAAUGGUGGUGACAGUGGGCAGCGAGCACGCGAGUGUGAGCUAAUCUCCAAAAGCCAAUCUCAGUUCGGAUUGCACUCUGCAACUCGAGUGCAUGAAGUUGGAAUCGCUAGUAAUCGCGGAUCAGCAUGCCGCGGUGAAUACGGUUCCCGGGCCUU
RNAcentral lists this ribosomal RNA (413 nucleotides) under uncultured Ochrobactrum sp. RNAcentral's name for it is "bacterial SSU rRNA". It matches the Rfam family "Bacterial small subunit ribosomal RNA", at positions 973 to 1382 of the family's 1533-position model. Lineage: Bacteria; Pseudomonadati; Pseudomonadota; Alphaproteobacteria; Hyphomicrobiales; Brucellaceae. The record is from RNAcentral.